UGAUAAGGCAGGUGGAGGAACAGGAUCAUGUGGAACCUCUUGUUCUUGGGCAGGUGGUUGAGACAAUGGGCGUAGAUGGAUUCUGUUGUGUCUAAGCAGCACCCUGUCCGUAUUGAUGAGUUGUACGUAACUGUCUUCCCAUGAGCAACUGAGAAGGCAUCGCAGUGUGGAGCGCAGCGCCUGCACAUUCCGUCUGCGGCGGCGUAGCUCCUGUCCAGGGAGCAGUUGACCCGGCACUGGCCGC
This is a long non-coding RNA of Alosa sapidissima (American shad), 244 nucleotides long. RefSeq lists it as uncharacterized. Lineage: Eukaryota; Metazoa; Chordata; Actinopteri; Clupeiformes; Clupeidae. The transcript is spliced from 3 exons. The record is from RefSeq and is a predicted model, not a curated record.